AAUCGAAAUGAAAUCGUUUGUUGCGAUAUCGUCAUUUUGUAUGCCAGGCAGUGCGAUUGAAUGUUCAGUACUGAAUCCUAUCAAAUAUUAAUAUAGAUUUAAUCUUUUGUGGUAUAUUUUCUUUUGUUAGAUACGAUGAUCAAGAAAGAAGUAAUAUUUUGCUGCUUCAGAAAUGAUGUGGGAAAAAAGUAUUACAGGUUCAAGGAAAUUAACCUGAUUAGUUGGAACUAUGAAAUAGGAUGAAGCGGUAACUGCAAGAACAAUGCUGAGAAAAUUAUAAGAAGACCAGUCUAAUAUCUGAGGUAAUAGAAUUUACCAAUAUUAUUUUACUCUUUUCAUUUGUUUUCUUUAUUUUGUUCUAUUUUAUUUAUUUUAAUUAUAUUAUUUAUUCCUUUAAUUGCUGGUUUAAAUAGGUAAUUGUGGAUUAAUUUAAAUUGUAUAUUAAAUUCUCUCCAAUACGUUGAAAUUGGUAGAUCUUUAUGUGUUUGCAUACUAGAAACAGGAACACUUGUAGCAAAUAGAAGCUUUCAUUAUUUCAAUAAAUAUCUACUUUAGUUAAAAGCAGUUUAUAUUAGAAAUAUUUUUCUUAUUUAAU
Polistes canadensis is the source of this 595-nucleotide long non-coding RNA. RefSeq lists it as uncharacterized. The transcript has 3 exons. The record is from RefSeq and is a predicted model, not a curated record. Lineage: Eukaryota; Metazoa; Arthropoda; Insecta; Hymenoptera; Vespidae.